Molecule: ribosomal RNA, 513 nt
Filed under: Ruminococcus sp. CO27
Lineage: Bacteria; Bacillati; Bacillota; Clostridia; Eubacteriales; Oscillospiraceae
Description: bacterial SSU rRNA
Rfam family: Bacterial small subunit ribosomal RNA
Source: RNAcentral
AGAGUUUGAUCCUGGCUCAGGAUGAACGCUGGCGGCGUGCUUAACACAUGCAAGUCGAACGGGAAACUAUUUUAUUGAAGCUUCGGUGGAUUUAAUUUGUUUCUAGUGGCGGACGGGUGAGUAACGCGUGGGUAACCUGCCUUAUACUGGGGGAUAACAGCCAGAAAUGACUGCUAAUACCGCAUAAGCGCACAGAACCGCAUGGUUCGGUGUGAAAAACUCCGGUGGUAUAAGAUGGACCCGCGUUGGAUUAGCUAGUUGGCAGGGCAGCGGCCUACCAAGGCGACGAUCCAUAGCCGGCCUGAGAGGGUGAACGGCCACAUUGGGACUGAGACACGGCCCAGACUCCUACGGGAGGCAGCAGUGGGGAAUAUUGCACAAUGGGGGAAACCCUGAUGCAGCGACGCCGCGUGAAGGAAGAAGUAUCUCGGUAUGUAAACUUCUAUCAGCAGGGAAGAUAAUGACGGUACCUGACUAAGAAGCCCCGGCUAACUACGUGCCAGCAGCCGCGGU